RNAcentral lists this ribosomal RNA (330 nucleotides) under Triticum aestivum (bread wheat). Its description in RNAcentral is "partial small subunit ribosomal RNA". The record is from RNAcentral. Lineage: Eukaryota; Viridiplantae; Streptophyta; Magnoliopsida; Poales; Poaceae.
AUGGUUAAAACAACCUGUGCUAUUUCACCUCCUGGAAGAGCUAUUGCGACGAAGCAGACCUCCUUCUCUAACAGGGUGCAAGGGGUGGUGUUGAGUCCUUUGCAAGAUCUUGGGGCGGCUGAUAUUACCAAGCAACAAAAGUUGAGGGAAGCUGAAGUUAGUGUUCAAAAGGCUAAAGAAAAGGCAGCUCUAGAUGAGGCGGCGAGGAGAAGAAGUGACAGGAAAAAACACAAAGAGGAGGCGCAGACUAUGGACAAAGCUACUGACAUGGCAAGGAGGAAGAAUUUGGAGACCCCAGUGAACAACAAAUCCCCAGGGAAUGCAAUGUGA